This 539-nucleotide ribosomal RNA is filed under the name uncultured bacterium. RNAcentral's name for it is "bacterial SSU rRNA". It matches the Rfam family "Bacterial small subunit ribosomal RNA", at positions 356 to 896 of the family's 1533-position model. The record is from RNAcentral.
GAGGAAUAUUGGUCAAUGGGCGAGAGCCUGAACCAGCCAAGUAGCGUGCAGGAUGACGGCCCUAUGGGUUGUAAACUGCUUUUGUAUGGGGAUAAAGUCAGUCACGUGUGAUUGUUUGCAGGUACCAUACGAAUAAGGACCGGCUAAUUCCGUGCCAGCAGCCGCGGUAAUACGGAAGGUCCGGGCGUUAUCCGGAUUUAUUGGGUUUAAAGGGAGCGUAGGCUGGAGAUUAAGUGUGUUGUGAAAUGUAGACGCUCAACGUCUGACUUGCAGCGCAUACUGGUUUCCUUGAGUACGCACAACGUUAGCGGAAUUCGUCGUGUAGCGGUGAAAUGCUUAGAUAUGACGAAGAACUCCGAUUGCGAAGGCAGCUGACGGGAGCGCAACUGACGCUGAAGCUCGAAGGUGCGGGUAUCGAACAGGAUUAGAUACCCUGGUAGUCCGCACAGUAAACGAUGGAUGCCCGCUGUUGGUACCUGGUAUCAGCGGCUAAGUGAAAGCAUUAAGCAUCCCACCUGGGGAGUACGCCGGCAACGGUG